AUGAACGCUAGCGGCAGGCCUAAUACAUGCAAGACGAACGGCAAGAUUUUUAGCAAUAAGAAUCCUAGAGUGUCGUAAGGGUGCGUAACACGUAUGCAAUCUGCCCUCAACAGGAGGAUAGCUCCCCGAAAGGGGAAUUAACACUCCAUAAGAUCAUGGUCUGGCAUCAGACAGUGAUUAAAACUACGGUGGUUGAGGAUGAGCAUGCGCAUGAUUAGUUAGUUGGCGGGGUAAUGGCCCACCAAGACGAUGAUCAUUAGGGGAACUGAGAGGUUGAUCCCCCACACUGGCACUGAGAUACGGGCCAGACUCCUACGGGAGGCAGCAGUAGGGAAUAUUGGACAAUGGGUGCGAGCCUGAUCCAGCCAUGCCGCGUGCAGGAAGACGGCCUUCUGGGUUGUAAACUGCUUUUGCCAGGGGAUAAAACGUCCAUGCGUGGAUAAUUGAAGGUACCUGGUGAAUAAGCCACGGCUAACUACGU
RNAcentral lists this ribosomal RNA (481 nucleotides) under uncultured bacterium. RNAcentral describes it as "bacterial SSU rRNA". It matches the Rfam family "Bacterial small subunit ribosomal RNA", at positions 29 to 506 of the family's 1533-position model. The record is from RNAcentral.